UACGGAGGGGGCUAGCGUUGUUCGGAAUUACUGGGCGUAAAGCGCACGUAGGCGGCUUUGUAAGUUAGAGGUGAAAGCCCGGGGCUCAACUCCGGAAUUGCCUUUAAGACUGCAUCGCUAGAAUUGUGGAGAGGUAAGUGGAAUUCCGAGUGUAGAGGUGAAAUUCGUAGAUAUUCGGAAGAACACCAGUGGCGAAGGCGGGGUC
Molecule: ribosomal RNA, 205 nt
Filed under: uncultured bacterium
Lineage: Bacteria
Description: partial 16S ribosomal RNA
Rfam family: Bacterial small subunit ribosomal RNA
Source: RNAcentral